Long non-coding RNA from Acromyrmex echinatior (Panamanian leafcutter ant), 1756 nucleotides. NCBI's taxonomy places the organism in Eukaryota, Metazoa, Arthropoda, Insecta, Hymenoptera, Formicidae. The record is from RefSeq and is a predicted model, not a curated record.
CUUUUUUGUACAUCUAUUUUAUAUAUCAUUCCUAGUUUCUCAUCUAUUCUUUCUUCAUCUUUUUUUGUGACUUCCUAAGACAUAAUGCCUCUUUCAACUUCUAGGUAGAAGAGGUAGAGAUAGGCUUUCAGGGGAGCCUAUCUCCCAUCUUAGACGUGUUCACGAAUGUAACGUGGCGCUUCUAUUCUUGAUCUCAUUAGAAUCAAAAUUAAAAUCGAUCAUGUGACGUGAAUUGAAUGUUGCCAGCUUUAGCAAGUGGGAUAGCGCUGAAGCUUAUUGAAAAAGUAUACUAAAAUAUUCACGAAAAGUUGGACUGAAUUCAUAUCAAGAUUGAAAUGUUAAUCUGCAAAUCGAGCAGGAUAGAUUGCAUGGACAUCAGUAUGAGACAAAACAGAAGGCUUUAGCUCUGACGCUGUAUAAAACGAUAGGGAAGCGAACACACACGUAUUUACGAGAAGUUUUUUCUGAUAUUCUAUGCAUACGAACUUUACAAUCGAUGCUUCCAAACUUUAAAAUUGAUGCUACCCCGGAUUUGAAUUCUUUGAUUUUGCAACAUUUGAAGAACAUGUCUCGAAACAUAUUAAACAAAGGCUGCGUUCCAAGCUCUUAACGCUUGCAAUAUGCACGAGCAUUUAUCCUUAUUUAACAUUUGAUAAACAAGAAUGAAAUGAUUCCUCAAGCGUUGUGAGCGUUAAAUGGAACGCAGCCAAAGUAUACAUACUAAUGUGGGAUCAGAUUUCAAUUCAAUCAAAUGUCACAUAUGAUAGAAAGGAUACCAUAUAUAGUUUUGAAGAUUGAGACAAUAAGCGUAUUAAUAAACCUGCAGAUCACGUAUUGGUUUUUAUGCUGUAUGGAUUGAACACAUACUAGAAGAUGCUUAUCUCGUAUAACUUUUGCGUUAAAGUGACAAACGUAUACAAUUAGUGUGCUGCAUUAAAGAACACGUGCAUGCAAUAUACGAAGCAGGCUUCCAUAUCGUAGUGACUAUCUGGAAUUUCCAAAUAUCUCUGCAAUGAAGCAGUUACUACUACAGACAGAAAUGGAAUGCCAUUUAGAAGAAAAAAUACAAGAUAAGUAAUAUCCAUUUAUAAAUGUAGUACACAACACACAAACAUCUUACGAAAUGAAUAUUUAAUUUGCAGCUCUAACUUACAUGAUCGGAAAUUACGAAAUUGCUCAUUUAUUUAAUCCUCCACAUCUAAUAAGGUGAUGGAAUAGUUUAUUGACAAAAGAUCUAGCAAGUUUACAACACAAGCCUUAAGAAACGAUAGCGAGCUAUAUUGAAACUUUCGCAAGAUUAAAAUAUAUAGCACAACAAUGGAGGACAAUAGCAUGAUUCGAAUAGAUAAAAAUGAUAUUGCAACAUCGGAAACUAUUAAUUUUGUAAUAAUCUGUUCGAUUCAGUAAACGGUACUGUGAUUAGCGCACACCAUGCAUUUUGGUGAACGCAAAAAACAUACUAAAAAAUAUGUUAUAUAGAUAUAGACAAGGCUAUAUGAAAAAUUGUUAAAACAACUAAUCCUACAUUAAAAAAUUGGCUCUUAAUCAUGAAAGGUUUCGAAAAACUAUAGACAUUGAAAUGUAAGUAUGAUUCUAUGAGUCUGAAAGCGCGUUAUUGUAAUCAGGACUCAAUAGAGAACUUUUUCGGUCAAGUGAGGAACCGUGCCAUUAGAAAAACGAAGCUAACACCUUGGCAAUUUGAAGACUCGUCUAUAACUUUAUUAGUGAACAACAUGGUCUAUUAGGAUGGUAACUG